This 749-nucleotide ribosomal RNA is filed under the name Capnocytophaga ochracea. RNAcentral's name for it is "bacterial SSU rRNA". It matches the Rfam family "Bacterial small subunit ribosomal RNA", at positions 28 to 776 of the family's 1533-position model. Lineage: Bacteria; Pseudomonadati; Bacteroidota; Flavobacteriia; Flavobacteriales; Flavobacteriaceae. The record is from RNAcentral.
GAUGAACGCUAGCGGCAGGCCUAACACAUGCAAGUCGAGGGGGAGGUUACUUUCGGGUAACUGAGACCGGCGUACGGGUGCGUAACGCGUAUACAAUCUGCCUUUCACUGGGGGAUAGCCCGAAGAAAUUUGGAUUAAUACCCCAUAGUAUAGGAGCACGGCAUCGUGAUACUAUUAAAGCUACGGUGGUGAAAGAUGAGUAUGCGUUCUAUUAGCUAGUUGGAGAGGUAACGGCUCCCCAAGGCGAUGAUAGAUAGGGGUUCUGAGAGGGAUGUCCCCCACACUGGUACUGAGAUACGGACCAGACUCCUACGGGAGGCAGCAGUGAGGAAUAUUGGACAAUGGUCGGAAGACUGAUCCAGCCAUGCCGCGUGCAGGAUGAAGGUCUUAUGGAUUGUAAACUGCUUUUGUAAGGGAAGAAUAAGGGCUACGCGUAGUUUGAUGACGGUACCUUAUGAAUAAGCAUCGGCUAACUCCGUGCCAGCAGCCGCGGUAAUACGGAGGAUGCGAGCGUUAUCCGGAAUCAUUGGGUUUAAAGGGUCCGUAGGCGGGCUGAUAAGUCAGAGGUGAAAGCGCUUAGCUCAACUAAGCAACUGCCUUUGAAACUGUCAGUCUUGAAUGAUUGUGAGGUAGUUGGAAUGUGUAGUGUAGCGGUGAAAUGCUUAGAUAUUACACAGAACACCGAUAGCGAAGGCAUAUUACUAACAAUUUAUUGACGCUGAUGGACGAAAGCGUGGGGAGCGAACAGG